GGAUAAGCCUGGGAAACUGGGUCUAAUACCGGAUAUGACCUCAGGUUGCAUGACUUGGGGUGGAAAGAUUUAUCGGUGCAGGAUGGGCCCGCGGCCUAUCAGCUUGUUGGUGGGGUAAUGGCCUACCAAGGCGACGACGGGUAGCCGACCUGAGAGGGUGACCGGCCACACUGGGACUGAGACACGGCCCAGACUCCUACGGGAGGCAGCAGUGGGGAAUAUUGCACAAUGGGCGAAAGCCUGAUGCAGCGACGCCGCGUGAGGGAUGACGGCCUUCGGGUUGUAAACCUCUUUCAGCAGGGACGAAGCGCAAGUGACGGUACCUGCAGAAGAAGCACCGGCUAACUACGUGCCAGCAGCCGCGGUAAUACGUAGGGUGCAAGCGUUGUCCGGAAUUACUGGGCGUAAAGAGUUCGUAGGCGGUUUGUCGCGUCGUUUGUGAAAACCAGCAGCUCAACUGCUGGCUUGCAGGCGAUACGGGCAGACUUGAGUACUGCAGGGGAGACUGGAAUUCCUGGUGUAGCGGUGAAAUGCGCAGAUAUCAGGAGGAACACCGGUGGCGAAGGCGGGUCUCUGGGCAGUAACUGACGCUGAGGAACGAAAGCGUGGGUAGCGAACAGGAUUAGAUACCCUGGUAGUCCACGCCGUAAACGGUGG
RNAcentral lists this ribosomal RNA (657 nucleotides) under Rhodococcus sp. VPMK19. RNAcentral describes it as "bacterial SSU rRNA". It matches the Rfam family "Bacterial small subunit ribosomal RNA", at positions 141 to 812 of the family's 1533-position model. Lineage: Bacteria; Bacillati; Actinomycetota; Actinomycetes; Mycobacteriales; Nocardiaceae. The record is from RNAcentral.